This 231-nucleotide long non-coding RNA is filed under the name Malus domestica (apple). RNAcentral's name for it is "long non-coding RNA (MDOM_LNC015407)". The record is from RNAcentral. Lineage: Eukaryota; Viridiplantae; Streptophyta; Magnoliopsida; Rosales; Rosaceae.
UUGUAAACUUGUUACAUAUGAAUCACUCUUGUUUUCUGUUUCCAAGAUUCUAGAGACCAAUAAUAUAGGCUAAAAAAGGCAUUGUCUCAGUCAUGUUUCAACAAACGAAACGGGACCAAUAUUUGCCGAGCAGAUUAUUAUAUUGUAGGUCAAUCAACAAGGGUCAACUGCUCUGUAGAGGGAGAGGGGUCUUUAUAUAGGAGUAAAUUCUCUCCCUUUUUUUUUUUUUUU